AAGCCCCAAUCACUGUCCAUACAGAUUCAGUUCUGCUGUACUCUCUCCCUUUCCAAGCAUGCAGAGGAGCACACCAGGUCCUCUGGAGAGGCUGCUGUGUAGCACAGGACAAGGAUUCUGCCUCAGAACAUCCCUGUGUACUUUAAUCUUCACAGCUCCUUACCUGUGUAACUGGUCAGAAGAUGAGAAGACGCUGCUGUUCAAAAUCAUCCAAAGUCAACAAAAAUCCACAUAAAGCUAUAGGUUUUAAAGGUACUCCAGUGGAAGCAAGGAAACCGUGCAAGCCUUGUCGUCCGCGAGACCAUGGAGUGUUUUCUGGACCACUUCCACAGCUGAAAUAAGCAGACUGAGAGGAGGGGGAAAAGCAUCUGCCGACAUGCACAACCAACAGUGCUUCACUAUCCUGAAGACCCUCCUUCCAAGUGCUAGUAAUCCACUUGGAAGUAAAUUUCUACAAAUGAUAAAAAUCUCAUCAUAUACAAAGGGCUGAGAAACUAGAUAAGCAUGUUAUUAAAAUAAUGGUGAUGAGCCAGAUUCAAGUAAGCUUUUCAAUAUGUCUUCUGAGGGGGCUAAAUCUGACUUUAAAAUCAAAGUGGCCUGGUUUUAACUUCCUUAAGAGUGUCAUCAGGUGGUUAUUGAAGAGCAUACUGGAAAGAUAUUAAACCUAAUCAGAUUUCAUCUGUUCCUCUAAAGCCAGAAGGCAGCUGUUCUUUCAAGACAGCAGAGUUGUGUGAUCACCUCAAUAAACAAAGCUUACUGGAGCAUGAAAUAAAUGCUAAGAAUAAUACCAAAGGGCUGAAUAACAGAGAAACUGAAGCACCCGCUGAUACUUUAGCUGUGUAUCUUCUGU
Zonotrichia leucophrys gambelii is the source of this 850-nucleotide long non-coding RNA. RefSeq lists it as uncharacterized. The record is from RefSeq and is a predicted model, not a curated record. NCBI's taxonomy places the organism in Eukaryota, Metazoa, Chordata, Aves, Passeriformes, Passerellidae. The transcript is spliced from 3 exons.